GGGAUUGUGGCUCAGUGGUAGAGCGCUACCCUAACAAGGGUGAGAUCCGGGUUCGAUCCUCAGCACCA
This 68-nucleotide transfer RNA is filed under the name Ictidomys tridecemlineatus (thirteen-lined ground squirrel). Its description in RNAcentral is "Spermophilus tridecemlineatus (thirteen-lined ground squirrel) tRNA". It matches the Rfam family "tRNA". From Rfam's summary of the family: Transfer RNA (tRNA) molecules are approximately 80 nucleotides in length. Their secondary structure includes four short double-helical elements and three loops (D, anti-codon, and T loops). Lineage: Eukaryota; Metazoa; Chordata; Mammalia; Rodentia; Sciuridae. The record is from Rfam by way of RNAcentral.